AGUAACACGUGGAUAACCUACCUAUAAGACUGGGAUAACUUCGGGAAACCGGAGCUAAUACCGGAUGAUAUUUUGAACCGCAUGGUUCAAAAGUGAAAGACGGUCUUGCUGUCACUUAUAGAUGGAUCCGCGCUGCAUUAGCUAGUUGGUAAGGUAACGGCUUACCAAGGCAACGAUGCAUAGCCGACCUGAGAGGGUGAUCGGCCACACUGGGACUGAGACACGGCCCAG
This 231-nucleotide ribosomal RNA is filed under the name uncultured Staphylococcus sp. Its description in RNAcentral is "partial 16S ribosomal RNA". It matches the Rfam family "Bacterial small subunit ribosomal RNA", at positions 109 to 334 of the family's 1533-position model. The record is from RNAcentral. Lineage: Bacteria; Bacillati; Bacillota; Bacilli; Caryophanales; Staphylococcaceae.